CGCUAGCGGCGAGCUUAACACAUGCAAGUCGAGCGGAGGGUUUCGGCCCUCAGCGGCGGACGGGUGAGUAACACGUAGGUUACGUGCCCUUUGGUGGGGAAUAACUUAGGGAAACCUGAGCUAAUACCGCAUGUGCCCUUCGGGGUGAAAGUCUUCGGACGCCAGAGGAUCGGCCUGCGGCCCAUUAUUUAAUCCUUGUUGGUGGGGUAACGGCCUACCAAGGGUACGAUGGGUAGCUGGUCUGAGAGGAUGAUCAGCCACACUGGGACUGAGACACGGCCCAGACUCCUACGGGAGGCAGCAGUGGGGAAUAUUGGACAAUGGGGGAAACCCUGAUCCAGCUACGCCGCGUGGGUGAUGAAGGCCUUCGGGUUGUAAAGCCCUGUCGAGGGGGACGAAGUUCUGACGGUACCCCUCAAGAAAGCACCGGCUAACUCCGUG
RNAcentral lists this ribosomal RNA (441 nucleotides) under uncultured bacterium. RNAcentral's name for it is "bacterial SSU rRNA". It matches the Rfam family "Bacterial small subunit ribosomal RNA", at positions 34 to 507 of the family's 1533-position model. The record is from RNAcentral.